This 3138-nucleotide ribosomal RNA is filed under the name Acinetobacter baumannii. Its description in RNAcentral is "23S ribosomal RNA". It matches the Rfam family "Bacterial large subunit ribosomal RNA". Lineage: Bacteria; Pseudomonadati; Pseudomonadota; Gammaproteobacteria; Moraxellales; Moraxellaceae. The record is from RNAcentral.
GUUGUAUAGUCAAGUAAUUAAGUGCAUGUGGUGGAUGCCUUGGCAGUCAGAGGCGAUGAAAGACGUGAUAGCCUGCGAAAAGCUCCGGGGAGGCGGCAAAUAUCCUUUGAUCCGGAGAUGUCUGAAUGGGGGAACCCACCUACUUUAAGGUAGGUAUUGCAACAUGAAUACAUAGUGUUGCAAGGCGAACGAGGGGAAGUGAAACAUCUCAGUACCCUUAGGAAAAGAAAUCAAUUGAGAUUCCCUCAGUAGCGGCGAGCGAACGGGGAUCAGCCCAUUAAGUUAUGUGUGUUUUAGUGGAACGCUCUGGGAAGUGCGAACGUAGAGGGUGAUAUUCCCGUACACGAAAGGGCACACAUAAUGAUGACGAGUAGGGCGAGGCACGUGAAACCUUGUCUGAAUAUGGGGGGACCAUCCUCCAAGGCUAAAUACUCCUGACUGACCGAUAGUGAACCAGUACCGUGAGGGAAAGGCGAAAAGAACCCCUGUGAGGGGAGUGAAAUAGAUCCUGAAACCGCAUGCAUACAAGCAGUGGGAGCACCUUCGUGGUGUGACUGCGUACCUUUUGUAUAAUGGGUCAGCGACUUAUAUUCAGUAGCGAGGUUAACCGUAUAGGGGAGCCGUAGAGAAAUCGAGUCUUAAUAGGGCGUUUAGUUGCUGGGUAUAGACCCGAAACCAGGCGAUCUAUCCAUGAGCAGGUUGAAGGUUGGGUAACACUAACUGGAGGACCGAACCCACUGUCGUUGAAAAGCCAGGGGAUGACUUGUGGAUAGGGGUGAAAGGCUAAUCAAGCCUGGUGAUAGCUGGUUCUCCCCGAAAGCUAUUUAGGUAGCGCCUCGGACGAAUACCAUAGGGGGUAGAGCACUGUUUCGGCUAGGGGGUCAUCCCGACUUACCAAACCGAUGCAAACUCCGAAUACCUAUGAGUACUAUCCGGGAGACAGACUGCGGGUGCUAACGUCCGUAGUCAAGAGGAAAACAAUCCAGACCGCCAGCUAAGGCCCCAAAAUCAUAGUUAAGUGGGAAACGAUGUGGGAAGGCAUAGACAGCUAGGAGGUUGGCUUANNNNNNNNNNNNNNNNNNNNNNNNNNNNNNNNNNNNNNNNNNNNNNNGAAGCAGCCACCCUUUAAAGAAAGCGUAAUAGCUCACUAGUCGAGUCGGCCUGCGCGGAAGAUGUAACGGGGCUAAAACUAUGUGCCGAAGCUGCGGAUGUAUACUUUGUAUACGUGGUAGGGGAGCGUUCUGUAAGCCGAUGAAGGUGUGUUGAGAAGCNGAAGCAGCCACCCUUUAAAGAAAGCGUAAUAGCUCACUAGUCGAGUCGGCCUGCGCGGAAGAUGUAACGGGGCUAAAACUAUGUGCCGAAGCUGCGGAUUUGACAUUAGUCAAGUGGUAGGGGAGCGUUCUGUAAGCCGAUGAAGGUGUAUUGAGAAGUNNNNNNNNNNNNNAUGCUGGAGGUAUCAGAAGUGCGAAUGCUGACGUGAGUAACGACAAAACGGGUGAAAAACCCGUUCGCCGAAAGACCAAGGGUUCCAGUCCAACGUUAAUCGGGGCUGGGUGAGUCGACCCCUAAGGCGAGGCCGAAAGGCGUAGUCGAUGGGAAAAUGGUUAAUAUUCCAUUACUUCUGUGUAAUGCGAUGAGAGGACGGAGAAGGCUAAAUCAGCCUGGCGUUGGUUGUCCAGGUGAAAGGAUGUAGGCAUGUAUCUUAGGCAAAUCCGGGGUACUCUAUGCUGAGAUCUGAUAGCAAGCUGUACUUGUACAGCGAAGUGGUUGAUGCCAUGCUUCCAGGAAAAGUCUCUAAGCUUCAGUUACACAGGAAUCGUACCCGAAACCGACACAGGUGGUCAGGUCGAGUAGACCAAGGCGCUUGAGAGAACUCUGCUGAAGGAACUAGGCAAAAUGGUACCGUAACUUCGGGAGAAGGUACGCUGUUGUUGGUGAUGGAACUCGCUUCCUGAGCUGACGACAGCCGCAGAAACCAGGCCGCUGCAACUGUUUAUUAAAAACAUAGCACUCUGCAAACACGAAAGUGGACGUAUAGGGUGUGAUGCCUGCCCGGUGCUGGAAGGUUAAUUGAUGGGGUUAGCGUAAGCGAAGCUCUUGAUCGAAGCCCCAGUAAACGGCGGCCGUAACUAUAACGGUCCUAAGGUAGCGAAAUUCCUUGUCGGGUAAGUUCCGACCUGCACGAAUGGCAUAAUGAUGGCGGCGCUGUCUCCAGCAGAGGCUCAGUGAAAUCGAAAUCGCUGUGAAGAUGCAGUGUACCCGCGGCUAGACGGAAAGACCCCGUGAACCUUUACUGCAGCUUGACACUGAACUUUGACCUUACUUGUGUAGGAUAGGUGGGAGGCUUUGAAGCUGGAACGCUAGUUCCAGUGGAGCCGUCCUUGAAAUACCACCCUGGUAAUGUUGAGGUUCUAACUCUGUCCCGUGAUCCGGGACGAGGACCGUGUCUGGUGGGUAGUUUGACUGGGGCGGUCUCCUCCUAAAGAGUAACGGAGGAGUACGAAGGUGCGCUCAGCGUGGUCGGAAAUCACGCGUAGAGUAUAAAGGCAAAAGCGCGCUUAACUGCGAGACCCACAAGUCGAGCAGGUACGAAAGUAGGUCUUAGUGAUCCGGUGGUUCUGUAUGGAAGGGCCAUCGCUCAACGGAUAAAAGGUACUCUGGGGAUAACAGGCUGAUACCGCCCAAGAGUUCAUAUCGACGGCGGUGUUUGGCACCUCGAUGUCGGCUCAUCUCAUCCUGGGGCUGAAGCAGGUCCCAAGGGUAUGGCUGUUCGCCAUUUAAAGAGGUACGCGAGCUGGGUUUAGAACGUCGUGAGACAGUUCGGUCCCUAUCUACCGUGGGCGCUGGAAAUUUGAGAGGAUCUGCUCCUAGUACGAGAGGACCAGAGUGGACGAACCUCUGGUGUACCGGUUGUGACGCCAGUCGCAUCGCCGGGUAGCUAUGUUCGGAAGGGAUAACCGCUGAAAGCAUCUAAGCGGGAAGCCUACCUCAAGAUAAGAUUUCCCUAGGACUUUAUGUCCUCUAAAGAGCCGUUCGAGACUAGGACGUUGAUAGGUUGGAUGUGGAAGCAUAGUGAUAUGUGAAGCUGACCAAUACUAAUUGCUCGUGAGGCUUGACUAUACAACACCCAAGCAGUUG